RNAcentral lists this ribosomal RNA (44 nucleotides) under Cladonia subulata. RNAcentral describes it as "partial 28S ribosomal RNA". Lineage: Eukaryota; Fungi; Ascomycota; Lecanoromycetes; Lecanorales; Cladoniaceae. The record is from RNAcentral.
AGUAGGGAUACCCGCUGAACUUAAGCAUAUCAUAAAGCGGAGGA